RNAcentral lists this ribosomal RNA (449 nucleotides) under uncultured bacterium. Its description in RNAcentral is "partial 16S ribosomal RNA". It matches the Rfam family "Bacterial small subunit ribosomal RNA", at positions 30 to 523 of the family's 1533-position model. The record is from RNAcentral.
AUUGAACGCUGGCGGCAGGCUUAACACAUGCAAGUCGAACGGAUCCUUCGGGAUUAGUGGCGCACGGGUGAGUAACGCGUGGGAAUGUACCCCUUGGUAAGGAAUAAUAUCUGGAAACGGAUACUAAUACCUUAUAAUGACUUUGGUCCAAAGAUUUAUCGCCAAGGGAUCAGCCCGCGUCUGAUUAGGUAGUUGGUGAGGUAACGGCUCACCAAGCCGACGAUCAGUAGCUGGUCUGAGAGGAUGAUCAGCCACACUGGGACUGAGACACGGCCCAGACUCCUACGGGAGGCAGCAGUGAGGAAUCUUGGACAAUGGGGGAAACCCUGAUCCAGCCAUGCCGCGUGAGUGAAGAAGGCCUUAGGGUUGUAAAGCUCUUUCAAUGGUGAAGAUAAUGACGGUAGCCAUAGAAUAAGCUCCGGCUAACUCCGUGCCAGCAGCCGCCGUAA